UCAAGGAAGCCAGGCGGCGAAGGCGCCGCCAACCCCGCCAGGCCCGAAAGGGAGCAACGGUAACGGUUGCUUUUGGGUGCCUGGUUUCCUUCAAAG
This 96-nucleotide signal recognition particle RNA is filed under the name Fundidesulfovibrio putealis. Its description in RNAcentral is "signal recognition particle sRNA small type". It matches the Rfam family "Bacterial small signal recognition particle RNA". Rfam says of the family: The signal recognition particle (SRP) is a universally conserved ribonucleoprotein involved in the co-translational targeting of proteins to membranes. Archaeal SRP consists of a 7S RNA and homologues of the eukaryotic SRP19 and SRP54 proteins. Lineage: Bacteria; Pseudomonadati; Thermodesulfobacteriota; Desulfovibrionia; Desulfovibrionales; Desulfovibrionaceae. The record is from RNAcentral.